GACCCCGCCUGCCACGGCUGACCGGGCCUCGGUCCCGUAGGUUAACUCUUACCCCCUCCAUUGAGUUACUUACCUCGUUCAGUAUGGUCCGCACCUGCCCCACCGCCGACGGGCUAGCUAGGUUAGAAUGGAUUAGGGUUCCCCACCGAGUGACUCUGACGCGUGCGCCAGGAUUGUCACGUUGAUCGUCGACACUUGCGGCGGAGCCGUGUCGACGACACUAAGCCCUCACCUACCGGACGUGGGCAAGGAGGGUCACCCUGCUUCAGCACCACCUGGCGACACCCCAACACGACGGAUCGUCAACUACACUGCACUUCAGUACCUGCCUGCACGUAGUUGGGUUCGGCCUUCAUCAUUUAGAGUCCCUAGUUGGCAUUAUCUGGUGGUAAAUAGGGUUCCCUUCCCUCGUUACCUCUCCCACGUCUAGUUGCCGGGGCCGGUUUACUAGCUCGUCCUGCAUCAGAAGCAAUAUUUCUAGAGACAUGAAAUAUCAUCUAUUGAUUGGAAAGCACAUUUUCUUGAAAUUAGCUAAAUAUAAAUCCAUAAAGAAUACAG
This 558-nucleotide long non-coding RNA is filed under the name Spirodela polyrhiza (greater duckweed). RNAcentral describes it as "long non-coding RNA (SPOL_LNC001198)". Lineage: Eukaryota; Viridiplantae; Streptophyta; Magnoliopsida; Alismatales; Araceae. The record is from RNAcentral.